AUGCCACGAACGACAUCUCUCACGUGCUUGAAGAUUUUGAAGAAGAAACCGACCUCAACAUGGUAUUUUGGCAAUGUUGGCUCUUGGGCUGCCCAAUUGAUCACUGAAGCUGGUGGCAAGGUGGUCUCCAUCAAAGAUGUCACAGGGGCUGUCAAGAACUCCAAUGGCAUCGACAUAGCCAAGCUGAUGAAGCACUCGGCAGAGAACCGCGGGAUCAAGGGCUCCGACAAAAGGCGACGCCGCCGACCCGACCUCGCUGCUCACGGAAGAGUGCGACGUGCUCAUCCCGGCAGCUCUGGGAGGAGUCAUAAACAAGGACAAUGUUGA
This 327-nucleotide ribosomal RNA is filed under the name Triticum aestivum (bread wheat). Its description in RNAcentral is "partial small subunit ribosomal RNA". The record is from RNAcentral. Lineage: Eukaryota; Viridiplantae; Streptophyta; Magnoliopsida; Poales; Poaceae.